Molecule: ribosomal RNA, 406 nt
Filed under: uncultured bacterium
Lineage: Bacteria
Description: partial 16S ribosomal RNA
Rfam family: Bacterial small subunit ribosomal RNA
Source: RNAcentral
AUUGAACGCUGGCGGCAGGCCUAACACAUGCAAGUCGAACGAGUGGCGGACGGGUGAGUAAUGUCUGUGAAACUGCCCGAUGGAGGGGGAUAACUACUGGAAACGGUAGCUAAUACCGCAUAACGUCGGGUGUGCACAGAUGGGAUUCGCUAGUGGGUGGGGUAACGUCUCACCUAGGCGACGAGCCCUAGCUGGUCUGAGAGGAGGACCAGCCACACGGGAACUGAGACACGGUCCAGACUUCUACGGGAGGCAGCAGUGGGGCAUAUUGCACAAGGGGCGGAAGCCUGAUGCGGCCAUGCCGCGUGGAUGAAGAAGGCCUUCGGGUUGUAAAGUACUUUCAGCGUGGAGGCGGUACUCGCAGAAGAAGCACCGGCUAACUCCGUGCCAGCAGCCGCGGUAAUAC